This 73-nucleotide transfer RNA is filed under the name Candidatus Woesearchaeota archaeon. RNAcentral describes it as "tRNA-Val". It matches the Rfam family "tRNA". Rfam says of the family: Transfer RNA (tRNA) molecules are approximately 80 nucleotides in length. Their secondary structure includes four short double-helical elements and three loops (D, anti-codon, and T loops). The record is from RNAcentral. Lineage: Archaea; Nanobdellati; Candidatus Woesearchaeota.
GGGCCUGUGGUCUAGUGGCUAUGACACCGCCUCGACACGGCGGAGAUCACCAGUUCGAACCUGGUCAGGCCCA